CAAACUUCUGACACCUCCUUCGUGGAGCAUGUGACGGGCGCAAGCAGCCAGUGAGCCGAACCUGUUCAAUCCGUGAACCUGUGAAUAAAUCAGAUCAAUUUACUUGUAGAAAGACUUUCAAACGAUCUAAAGGAGCAGUUGAUGUUCGAGAAACGGCGCCUGCAACUCCUCCAGCCAGGAGAUGCCUCCACCACAUCCCCGACAGCAUUUCUUGAAGGGUAAAAUCAUCCGGUACGGUGACGGAUUCGCCAACAUCCAAGUACUGUUACGAAAUAAGUCACAGGGGGAAGGACAAAAUCAAAUUAUUAUGUAUCCAUUACACCAAAAUGUCAUAACGCGUGUUUCAUAAUGAUUGCGUCGUCUCGACGUUGAUCAAAUAAAAAUGCCCCCCAAAACGA
This is a long non-coding RNA of Daphnia pulex (common water flea), 398 nucleotides long. RefSeq lists it as uncharacterized. The transcript has 2 exons. Lineage: Eukaryota; Metazoa; Arthropoda; Branchiopoda; Diplostraca; Daphniidae. The record is from RefSeq and is a predicted model, not a curated record.